AUCCAGCUGAAGAGUCCCAAAUAGGACGAAACGCGCAUCCUGGAU
Molecule: non-coding RNA, 45 nt
Organism: Schistosoma margrebowiei
Lineage: Eukaryota; Metazoa; Platyhelminthes; Trematoda; Strigeidida; Schistosomatidae
Source: Rfam